Molecule: ribosomal RNA, 387 nt
Filed under: Triticum aestivum (bread wheat)
Lineage: Eukaryota; Viridiplantae; Streptophyta; Magnoliopsida; Poales; Poaceae
Description: partial small subunit ribosomal RNA
Source: RNAcentral
AUGACGGCAGAGGGCCAGGCGUGGCUUGGCGUCGCCAAGAGCCACGAGGUCAUCGCCGCUGGCCUCCGCGCCACGCUGGACCAGCUGCUGCAGCCCCCCUACGUCGUCGCCUGGGACGCCUGCGUUUUGCUGAUCCCGUGCCGGCACCUGUCCCUGUGCGGUGCAUGCGAACCCACUGUGGAGACCUGCCCCGUGUGCGCGGUCACCAGAGGUAUGUAUCCCCUUAAUCCCUGUUUGAUUUAUUUUUCUGUCCCCUGUCUCGCUGGCGAGCCCAUGCGCGGCCACUGUUUCUGCUCGCGCGCUCGUGCAUGUCCCUACUGCUGCCGCCGCCGCUCGCUCGUGCCUGUGCGCGGCAGCGGCCGUGGCUUGGCCUUUUCGUUCCGUUAG